UACGUAGGUGGCAAGCGUUAUCCGGAUUUACUGGGUGUAAAGGGCGUGUAGGCGGGAUUGCAAGUCAGAUGUGAAAUCUUCGAGCUCAACUCGGAGCGUGCAUUUGAAACUGUAGUUCUUGAGUGAUGGAGAGGCAGGCGGAAUUCCGUGUGUAGCGGUGAAAUGCGUAGAUAUACGGAGGAACACCAGUGGCGAAGGCGGCCUGCUGGACAUUAACUGACGCUGAGGCGCGAAAGCGUGGGGAGCAAAC
Molecule: ribosomal RNA, 250 nt
Filed under: uncultured bacterium
Lineage: Bacteria
Description: partial 16S ribosomal RNA
Rfam family: Bacterial small subunit ribosomal RNA
Source: RNAcentral